RNAcentral lists this ribosomal RNA (726 nucleotides) under Triticum aestivum (bread wheat). RNAcentral's name for it is "partial small subunit ribosomal RNA". Lineage: Eukaryota; Viridiplantae; Streptophyta; Magnoliopsida; Poales; Poaceae. The record is from RNAcentral.
AUGUCUUCCUCCGGUGCUUCCUCGCCUAACCUCAACAAUCAGGUCACAGAGAAGCUGUCACGCACGAGCUACGUGCUGUGGCGCACACAGAUCACACCUCAACUGUGCGGUGCCGGCGUCUUCGGCUACAUCGACGGCACCAACCCGGAGCCGGCCAAGCUCCUCGUCACCACCAAGGAUGGCAAGGAGACUUCAUCGCCCAACCCUCUCCACCCUAUAUGCGUACGGGAGGAUCAGCAGGUCCUUGGCUACCUGCUGAACAACCUCACAAAAGAGUUCCUGGUCACGGUGACCACGGUCACCACGGCGGGCGCGCUCUGGACGAUGCUCGCGGCCAUGUUCUCGUCGCAAUCGGCGAGUCGCAUCAACAACAUCCGCACCUCCCUCAUCAAUGCGCAGAAGGGUAACCUAUCGGUUGCCUCCUACUUCACCGCUAUGCGUGGCUAUGCCGAUGAGCUGGCCGCGGCGGGCAAGCCUAUCCAGGAUGAUGAGCUCAUCUCGUACAUCAACCAUGGGUUGGAGGCGGACUAUCAACCUCUGGUGUCGGCUCUCGACGCCCGUGUUACUCCCGCAACCCUCGACGAGCUCUUCGCCAUGCUGUCAAACUUCGACCAGCGCAUGGCUCAAUUCCAUGGAUCCGGCAGCUUCAAAUCUUCCGCAAACAUGGUGUCACGCGGCCGGGGUGGUGGAUCCCGCUCGCGUGGCUCUCCUCGCUACAAGGGGUGA